This 107-nucleotide small nuclear RNA is filed under the name Cavia aperea (Brazilian guinea pig). The record is from RNAcentral. Lineage: Eukaryota; Metazoa; Chordata; Mammalia; Rodentia; Caviidae.
GGGCUCACUUCAGCGGCACAUAUCCUAAAACUGGAAUAAUACAGAGAAGAUUAGCAUGGCUCCUGAGCAAGGAAGACAUGCAAGUUCAUGAAGCACUUCAUAUUUUU